This 632-nucleotide long non-coding RNA is filed under the name Heterocephalus glaber (naked mole-rat). RNAcentral describes it as "lncRNA (ENSHGLG00000037833.1)". Lineage: Eukaryota; Metazoa; Chordata; Mammalia; Rodentia; Bathyergidae. The record is from RNAcentral.
GAAGGUUUUUCUGCAUCUCUUUGAGUGACCUUUGGUUUCUCAAGUCUUCAAAUUAUGUGAGGUGCGACCCAGAGCUGCCACACUGAGCUGUAAAGCUCAGCUGUGCCUCCGAGCCAGGGCACUGGGCUGUAGCACCGAGCUGCUCUGCUCUGCCUGCCCAGCCGUCCUUGUAGACCGUGCACCACAUGAGUGCGGGACAGGAGCUCUGGACACUUGCACCGGGGAGGAGAUGAACACACUAUGCAUUGCUGUGUCAUUUAUUCUUUGCUUUCCAAACCUCUCCAAGCAACUCGAACACCCUGAACUUGGACGAUCCUGAGCUUCUCUUCCGUGGCAUGCUGAGCUUCCUGCUUCAUAGAAAGUCCAAGGGGAAGAGCUGAACUCAAGAAGUGACCACUGCUAUGAAGCCCAAAAGGAUUCACAGGAGACUUCGUUCUUGAAACAAAUUCCCAAGAGAAAAGUGGCAAAAGCACUGCUUGUUAAUUGGAACUAAAAGAAAUCAAAAGAGGUGAAAUGAAAGAGGUUGUUGGACUUGGAAAUUCUACAGGGAGUGAGCAGGUUGAAAAAACAAGUCAACUGCAAAUACAGGCUCCUUCUCAGAAAGGAAUCGAGAGCCCAGAGUACAGUACAGC